Molecule: ribosomal RNA, 500 nt
Filed under: uncultured bacterium
Lineage: Bacteria
Description: partial 16S ribosomal RNA
Rfam family: Bacterial small subunit ribosomal RNA
Source: RNAcentral
AUUGAACGCUGGCGGCAUGCCUUACACAUGCAAGUCGAACGGCAGCACGGGAGCAAUCCUGGUGGCGAGUGGCGAACGGGUGAGUAAUGUAUCGGAACGUGCCCAGUCGUGGGGGAUGACGUAGCGAAAGCUACGCUAAUACCGCAUACGAUCUAUGGAUGAAAGCGGGGGAUCGCAAGACCUCGCGCGCUUGGAGCGGCCGAUAUCAGAUUAGGUAGUUGGUGGGGUAAAGGCUCACCAAGCCGACGAUCUGUAGCUAGUCUGAGAGGACGACCAGCCACACUGGGACUGAGACACGGCCCAGACUCCUACGGGAGGCAGCAGUGGGGAAUUUUGGACAAUGGGCGCAAGCCUGAUCCAGCAAUGCCGCGUGCAGGAUGAAGGCCUUCGGGUUGUAAACUGCUUUUGUACGGAACGAAACGGCGAGCUCUAAUACAGUUUGCUAAUGACGGUACCGUAAGAAUAAGCACCGGCUAACUACGUGCCAGCAGCCGCCGUAA